UCUGAGGUCCCCGGGCCCUGGCAGGAAGGGGCCGCCCCGGAAGGGGCCCGGGGAGCGGCGCCGGCUGAAGGCGGUGGUGUCGGAGCAGCUCAGCCGCGACGUGCUCAGGUGGGCCGGCUGAGAAAGAAGACAGUGUGCAGAGGCUCCAAACCUAAGACAACUGACUGUGUCAUGCAUAUUCAGGAAGACAAGUAGAGAUGCAUCUGAAGAGAUGAGCUGACGAGAGAAACAGGGCAAGCAACUACAGAUUAAAGGUCGGUGGCGUCACCGGCAUCCAGUUAUCCAAACCAGAGAUUUUCCACUGUCACUUCUAUGUCCAGUCAACUCGGGUUUUAUUACCUACGUUUUAAAUUCAUCCUCUGCCGCCACUGACCCUCACCUGGCUCGUGCUCCUGGGGUCAUGUUUGUACUGUAAAGGAGUUUGCGUCCUCACUUCAAGUCCCGCUCUGCCCAACGAAUGACUGAUCACUAAAAGGUGGAUUUCAAGCAGUUGACUCUGCUCCAGGAGUGGGGUCUCCUCUCCUCUUCUUCUCCUCCAUGUCUGCAGAUGCAGAGUGAGACUCCAGGGUGUGUUUUUGCCUUUAAACCCCCUUGCUGUGUACCAUCCCUAAGUACCCUGUGGAUCAUUUGUACUUACGUUGUAAAGAACAAAGCCAGAAACCCCCUCCUGCUUUGCUUUCCUGACCAACUCUUACAAAGUCUUUAAAGAUCACAUUUAAUAAAGUACCUCAUAUACA
Peromyscus maniculatus bairdii (prairie deer mouse) is the source of this 737-nucleotide non-coding RNA. The record is from RefSeq and is a predicted model, not a curated record. Lineage: Eukaryota; Metazoa; Chordata; Mammalia; Rodentia; Cricetidae.